UGAUGUGGCCAGUCCACAUCAAAGCCUGAUAUCUUCAGAUCUCAGAAGCUAAGCAGGGUCUGGGUAGUACUUGGAUGAGUGACCACUGCAGAUACCAGGUGCCACAGUGG
RNAcentral lists this ribosomal RNA (110 nucleotides) under Periophthalmus magnuspinnatus. The record is from RNAcentral. Lineage: Eukaryota; Metazoa; Chordata; Actinopteri; Gobiiformes; Gobiidae.